GUUGUAUGGUUAAGUGACGAAGCGUAUACGGUGGAUGCCUUGGCAGUUAGAGGCGAUGAAGGACGUGUAAGUCUGCGAAAAGCUGUGGUGAGCCGACAAAAUGCAUUUGAGCCACAGAUGUCCGAAUGGGGAAACCCACCUGUUUACAGGUAUCGUUAACUGAAUACAUAGGUUAACGAGGCAAACGAGGGGAACUGAAACAUCUAAGUACCCUUAGGAAAAGAAAUCAACCGAGAUUCCCCUAGUAGCGGCGAGCGAACGGGGAGCAGCCCUUAAGCUGUUUAGAAUUUAGUGGAAUCCUUUGGGAAGAGGAGCGAUACAAGGUGAUAGCCCUGUACACGACGGAUUCUUUACAGUGAAAUCGAGUAGGUCGGGACACGUGUUAUCUUGACUGAAUAUGGGGGGACCAUCCUCCAAGGCUAAAUACUCCUAACUGACCGAUAGUGAACCAGUACCGUGAGGGAAAGGCGAAAAGAACCCCUGUGAGGGGAGUGAAAUAGAACCUGAAACCGUAUACGUACAAGCAGUGGGAGCCACUUCGUGUGGUGACUGCGUACCUUUUGUAUAAUGGGUCAGCGACUUAUAUUUAGUAGCAAGGUUAAGUGAAUAACGGAGCCGUAGCGAAAGCGAGUGUUAACUGCGCGUUUAGUUGCUAGGUAUAGACCCGAAACCCGGUGAUCUAGCCAUG
This 688-nucleotide ribosomal RNA is filed under the name Alteromonas macleodii. RNAcentral's name for it is "bacterial LSU rRNA". It matches the Rfam family "Bacterial large subunit ribosomal RNA", at positions 1 to 738 of the family's 2925-position model. Lineage: Bacteria; Pseudomonadati; Pseudomonadota; Gammaproteobacteria; Alteromonadales; Alteromonadaceae. The record is from RNAcentral.